UACGUAGGGUGCAAGCGUUGUCCGGAAUUAUUGGGCGUAAAGAGCUCGUAGGCGGUCUGUCGCGUCGGCUGUGAAAACCCGGGGCUCAACCCCGGGCCUGCAGUCGAUACGGGCAGACUAGAGUGCGGUAGGGGAGACUGGAAUUCCUGGUGUAGCGGUGAAAUGCGCAGAUAUCAGGAGGAACACCAGUGGCGAAGGCGGCUUCCUGGUCUGCGACUGACGCUGUGGCGCGAAAGCUAGGGGAGCAAACGGG
RNAcentral lists this ribosomal RNA (253 nucleotides) under uncultured bacterium. RNAcentral's name for it is "partial 16S ribosomal RNA". It matches the Rfam family "Bacterial small subunit ribosomal RNA", at positions 524 to 776 of the family's 1533-position model. The record is from RNAcentral.